RNAcentral lists this ribosomal RNA (375 nucleotides) under uncultured bacterium. RNAcentral's name for it is "bacterial SSU rRNA". It matches the Rfam family "Bacterial small subunit ribosomal RNA", at positions 523 to 898 of the family's 1533-position model. The record is from RNAcentral.
AUACGGAGGAUCCGAGCGUUAUCCGGAUUUAUUGGGUUUAAAGGGUACGUAGGCGGGCUAUGUAAGUCAGCGGUGAAAUUUUGCAGCUUAACUGUAAGCGUGCCGUUGAAACUGCUAGUCUUGAGUGUAGAUAAGGUAGGCGGAAUGUGUUGUGUAGCGGUGAAAUGCAUAGAUAUGACACAGAACCCCGAUUGCGAAGGCAGCUUACCGGGUUACCACUGACGCUGAGAGUACGAAAGCGUGGGGAUCAAACAGGAUUAGAUACCCUGGUAGUCCACGCAGUAAACGAUGAUUACUCGCUGUUUGCGAUAUAUAGUAAGCGGCCAAGCGAAAGCAUUAAGUAAUCCACCUGGGGAGUACGUUCGCAAGAAUGAA